This is a long non-coding RNA of Vespa velutina, 697 nucleotides long. RefSeq lists it as uncharacterized. The transcript has 3 exons. The record is from RefSeq and is a predicted model, not a curated record. Lineage: Eukaryota; Metazoa; Arthropoda; Insecta; Hymenoptera; Vespidae.
UAUAUCUGGAGACGUUGCCGAUACAAAUAGUGUUCUAGAUUCAUAUAUAAUCAAGAGUGAUAAUCGUAAAGGCAAAGAAACUUUUGAAGAAAGGAAGAAAAUUCUUAUAAAUUUACUUAAAUAAUAAGUGCAAAACACUGAGUGAAAUUUCUAAAAUUGCAGGUGGAUUAUGGUCUACGAAUCAAGGAAUUAUUGAAAAAUAUGGAGACCAAAAAACUUUAAAAAAUAAUCCAUGAAAGUAAAAGUAAAAUAAUAGUAAAGUACGUAGAAACGAUUAGAAUUUAUAAAAGACUAAAUCAAUGUUCCUAAGGAGUAUUGAAAUCAUAGUAUAUUUAUUGAUGGAAGUAUAAUUUAACAUAUUUAUAUCGGAUGGAUGAUAUAUUAUUUGGAAUGAAAAAAAUACAGAAUAUAAGUAAAACUAUUUCUAGACGUCCAUAAAUCAUGGAAGAGGUUACAGUUCGGAGCUGCAUGAAUGCAAACGUGUUUGGAUUCCUUUAUUUUAUUGAUGGACAAUUAUAUAUCUUUUUACAAGAUAAUAACCUAAAACUCGCUUACAAUAUGCGACAAUGGAUCUUGUAUAAGAUACCAAAUUAAUUAAAAAUACCAUGCAUAAUCUUCAGACUUGAAUGUUAAUUCCCCCAAAACUAUCUCGAAGAAAAAAUAAUUUCUAAUACUAAAACUUUUUUAUUACGUUUAU